UCUUGACCCCCUGUGUUUCUCUCUCUUAGGCACCCCUUUUACUGUGCUUGUUUUUGAUAGCGACAAAUAUUUCCUGCAGAGCAUGGGGAAGGUCUUCAAGUUCUGCACUAUGAGAUUGGGCAAAAGUACGAGCCUCAUUACGACUACUUCAUGGAUGAGUAUAACACUAGGAACGGGGGUCAGCGGAUAGCCACAGUUCUCAUGUACCUAUCAGAUGUGGAGGAGGGGGGUGAAACAGUAUUUCCUGCAGCCAAAGGAAACUAUAGCGCAGUGCCAUGGUGGAAUGAGUUGUCAGAGUGCGGGAAAGGAGGAUUGUCCGUGAAACCGAAGAUGGGAGACGCAUUGCUUUUCUGGAGCAUGACGCCUGAUGCGACGCUAGACCCAUCUAGUCUUCAUGGUGGGUGUGCUGUAAUAAAAGGGAACAAGUGGUCGUCGACAAAGUGGUUGCGUGUACACGAGUACAAGGUUUGAGGCGGCAUGGCAUGAUUGAGGACAGGGGGAGGGAGUCCUGAAAGAUGGAGCCAGAGAGUGUGGGAAAUCAGGAGGGAUAGAGAGAAGCAAGCAGCUAGUAGUAGGGGGGAGGGGGAUGAUGAAACAUGGCUAAGUUUUGAUAAUAGAGAUACACAUUUACUUGUAUAAUGAUUGAUGAAACUUGAAAAGCGAAUGUUGAUGGAUGAGGGGGAGGGUUGGGUGGUGUUUCUGUUUCAGAUAAUGAUAUUAUAAAAUAGUAUGAUACGAAUUUUCUUUUUGUAUAAUUAAAAGAGAAGUAAAGUUUUCCCCUUUGAUUAAUUUGGAAUCCAAACACCACAAAGUCAGAGUCAGAGAGAGAGAAGAGCGCAAAAAAGUCUUACCGAUAUAAAUCAAAUCGACUCGCCGUCGGUCUCGUAAAGAUAUUAUUAUACAGAGACAGACAGACGCGUUGAGGGAGUUGAUUACUAUAAAAAAAAAAAAAAAAAGAGAAAUCAUUGGUCAGCUGAGAGAGAGAAGAGAGAAGAAGGUUCCCUUUUCAUUUCCUUUUGGUCUCUCUCUCAUUGAGAAAGAAGUCGCCAAAGGCAAUAUCUAGCCGCAAUAAAAGAAAAAGGGGAAAAAAAAAACCAAAAAAGAAUUAAGAAAACAACAAACACAAAUCAUUCCCUCUUCUUCGUCUUCUUCUUCUUCUUCUUCAUUUCCCUUUUUUUUUGUUUUUUCUCCCAGUAGAAAUAAAGAAAGAAAGAAAGAGAGAGAGAGAUAUGGAUGAUUAUAAUUAUUCUCUGUCUCCGCUAUCCCUCCUUCGUCGGAUGAAAGAUUCCUUCCAUUCGGCCAUCUCUGGCCUCCUCGCCAGCCUCUUUUCCGCUCUCUUCACCUUCUUCUUCGCUUUAGUGGGGACUUUGCUAGGAGCAUUGACAGGGGCUUUGAUCGGCCAAGAAACAGAGAGCGGUUUCAUCAGAGGAGCCGCCGUUGGUGCCAUCUCUGGCGCUGUCUUCUCCAUUGAAGUCUUUGAAUCUUCCCUCCUCCUCUGGCAAUCCGAUGAGUCUGGGAUUGGCUGCCU
Camelina sativa (false flax) is the source of this 1528-nucleotide non-coding RNA. Lineage: Eukaryota; Viridiplantae; Streptophyta; Magnoliopsida; Brassicales; Brassicaceae. The record is from RefSeq and is a predicted model, not a curated record.